RNAcentral lists this long non-coding RNA (1787 nucleotides) under Gallus gallus (chicken). Its description in RNAcentral is "long non-coding RNA NONGGAT003289". Lineage: Eukaryota; Metazoa; Chordata; Aves; Galliformes; Phasianidae. The record is from RNAcentral.
UUUUAAUGGAUGUGGGAGAGAAAGGUUUGGAACAGCUUUGGGGUGAUGGCAGAGGAAGCUCUCUGAAGUAAUCCGGGGGCAGUGCCAAGAGGCAUUCCAGUUCUCAGAAAAAUAACCAGUUACUGCUUAUGUGCUGGGAGCUGCAAGAGUGAUGAUUUCUGCUGCCAACAUUUACAGUCAGCCCUGACCAUGACAGUAGAUCAAAUACAUGUACUCGCCUGGACAGCUGACCUGGUUUGAACUCAGUGAGUGUUACUCUCAACGAUGACUGCAUUUUUGGAAUUAAUACUUUGCUGUAUUUUUUUAAAUCAACCAUAACCUCUCCCAGCAUUAACCAACCUCUCAGGACUGUUCCAAGCACCUGGUGCCCUGGGGGAGCUGUUUAGACCCCGCAGGUGUGACUGGCUGGUGAAAUGAGAUGACACAGCUGGACUGAGACAAGCCACAGAGAAGUGGCUGGCCUGCUCUGCAGUUGGACGUUGAUCUGACCAAGGGUAACUCCCAGCUGGUGCCAGUGGGAGAAACAGUUUGAUCCUUCCUCCGUGCUCGGCUCCUUCACUUUUGGCUUGCGUGCAGCAGGAAGGCAGUUAGAAAUAGCUGUUCUUACAUGCUUAGGCUGUUUGAUUUUGGAACUUGGCGCUGGUUUUACUGGAGAUAGAAGAGCACCCACAAGCAGAGAAUGAAACAUCCUAUCCCCAGUCAGAGCUGUAACAGAAGGAAGGAGUGAAAGGAAGCCUGACCUGCUGGAAAAGUGGGACAAGUCCUGCAGACAGCAAUCAACCUUCCAAACAAAGGCAUUAGAAGUCAUGCUAUGUCUUUUUAUGAAAGAAUCAUCAUAGCAGCACACAUUUUAAAAGAACAGCAAGCAGUGCAGGAGGGCUCGUUACUAGUCUGUAUGCAGUUUAUCCUGAAGGAGAGGAUCCAUUAAGGCUUGCAGGGAUCAGUACGAGUGCUUACAGCUGAAGCCCUCUCAACGAAUUCCGUUCACAUUGAUGCAGACUCUGAAAACUCCAGUCCAACACACGCCACAGUCACAAAGGCAGGUGCAGUCCUCUUCAAAACCUGGAAUGGGAUGGCUUCAGUUCUCAGAGAGAAGCAAAGUUCAUCAGAGCUACGGAAGCACGGGCAAGGGAAGCAGGUACAGACCAGCUGGGAGGUAAUCACAGCUGUAUGCAGACACCACGUGCUGAAUAACAAGCAUGUCUACCAGAACUCAGGAUUCAGCUGCAGGAUGCCUGCUGCAGUAACCGCUGUAUAAAGUUCCCACUACUUAAGGCAGAGAGGGAAUGAAACCCUGGGGCUAACGAAAAUUUUUUCUGCUACUACAUGAAGUGUGGAUCUCAGUGAUCUUGUUCACUUCCUUGGUUCAACAGGACAAAGAAAAGGCAUUGAUACUUGGCUGAUUGCACUAAAUAGAACAAUAAAUAUAAGGCCAAAUUAUAAACUUAUAUGGGGUGAAAGAAAUGGAAGAUUUUUCCCAUGUGCCCUCCCUCAUGCCUCAGGACAGCUCUCCUGGAUCAAAAGAUGCAAACUAUAUCAUCAAUCAAGGUAUGUCACUAAACGAGCAAGGAGGAAAGCACAGAAUUUAGGGAAGAACCUCAUUUUAGUGGGCAGUAAUCGAAGCUGUAAGUAGUGCAGAAAUGUUAUUCUUGUUCUUCAGUAAGUUAAGUACAACUAUAGGACAGGAAAUGUGGAGAACAGCAGAUGAGACUAAUAGUAGCAGAUACCACAGCACAAGCAUUCAGUUGAAUCUAAAAAGAGUUAUUUCCCUAAUGGAUAAAUAGUGC